UACGGAGGGUGCAAGCGUUGUCCGGAUUUAUUGGGUUUAAAGGGUGCGUAGGCGGAUAUUUAAGUCAGUGGUGAAAGUUUACGGCUCAACCGUAAAAUUGCCAUUGAUACUGGAUAUCUUGAGUAUAGUUGAGGUAGGCGGAAUUCAUGGUGUAGCGGUGAAAUGCAUAGAUACCAUGAAGAACACCUAUAGCGAAGGCAGCUUACUAAACUAUAACUGACGCUGAGGCACGAAAGCGUGGGGAGCGAACAGG
This 253-nucleotide unclassified non-coding RNA is filed under the name Fulvivirga sp. RNAcentral describes it as "partial 16S ribosomal RNA". It matches the Rfam family "Bacterial small subunit ribosomal RNA", at positions 524 to 776 of the family's 1533-position model. The record is from RNAcentral. RNAcentral also lists the same sequence under 1 other name. Lineage: Bacteria; Pseudomonadati; Bacteroidota; Cytophagia; Cytophagales; Fulvivirgaceae.